This 454-nucleotide ribosomal RNA is filed under the name uncultured bacterium. Its description in RNAcentral is "bacterial SSU rRNA". It matches the Rfam family "Bacterial small subunit ribosomal RNA", at positions 55 to 498 of the family's 1533-position model. The record is from RNAcentral.
AUGCAAGUCGAACGCGAAAGUCCCCUUCGGGGGGCAAGUAGAGUGGCGCACGGGUGAGUAACACGUAGGUAAUCUACCUUCGGAUGGGGAAUAACAAUCGGAAACGGUUGCUAAUACCGCAUAAUGCAGCGGCACCUAAUGGUGACAGUUGUUAAAGCGGGGGAUCGAAAGACCUCGCGUCUGAAGAGGAGCCUGCGGCGGAUUAGCUAGUUGGUAAGGUAAUGGCUUACCAAGGCAACGAUCCGUAACCGGCCUGAGAGGGCGGUCGGUCACACUGACACUGACAUACGGGUCAGACUCCUACGGGAGGCAGCAGUCGGGAAUUUUGGGCAAUGGGGCGAAAGCCUGACCCAGCAACGCCGCGUGAAGGAUGAAAUCCCUCGGGAAUGUAAAACUUCGCCANGAAACGGGAAUAAAUAAGUAGGGGGACAAUACCCCCCUAUGAUGACCGGUA